GACGAACGCUGGCGGCGUGCCUAAUACAUGCAAGUAGAACGCUGAAGAGAGGAGCUUGCUCUUCUUGGAUGAGUUGCGAACGGGUGAGUAACGCGUAGGUAACCUGCCUUGUAGCGGGGGAUAACUAUUGGAAACGAUAGCUAAUACCGCAUAACAAUGGAUGACACAUGUCAUUUAUUUGAAAGGGGCAAUUGCUCCACUACAAGAUGGACCUGCGUUGUAUUAGCUAGUAGGUGAGGUAACGGCUCACCUAGGCGACGAUACAUAGCCGACCUGAGAGGGUGAUCGGCCACACUGGCACUGAGACACGGCCCAGACUCCUACGGGAGGCAGCAGUAGGGAAUCUUCGGCAAUGGGGGCAACCCUGACCGAGCAACGCCGCGUGAGUGAAGAAGGUUUUCGGAUCGUAAAGCUCUGUUGUAAGUCAAGAACGAGUGUGAGAGUGGAAAGUUUACACUGUGACGGUAGCUUACCAGAAAGGGACGGCUAACUACGU
This 496-nucleotide ribosomal RNA is filed under the name uncultured bacterium. RNAcentral describes it as "partial 16S ribosomal RNA". It matches the Rfam family "Bacterial small subunit ribosomal RNA", at positions 28 to 506 of the family's 1533-position model. The record is from RNAcentral.